Molecule: long non-coding RNA, 539 nt
Organism: Oreochromis aureus
Lineage: Eukaryota; Metazoa; Chordata; Actinopteri; Cichliformes; Cichlidae
Exons: 4
Source: RefSeq, a predicted model, not a curated record
CUCGAUACAGAUAUGUGAAGAAUGAAGGGACCCUACAGUGAAAAGGCGAAUUGAACCACACCAACUUGGUAGAACUACAGAUCAUCUGUGACCAGCUGCAUCAGGAAGAGCAUCGAUGAUUCUUUCAAAUUGCUAGUGGGCCUGACAUGGAGGAGACUGAGGUGCCUUGGUGGUGGGAUCCUUUGAGUAUUACCAUUGGGUUGUCAUUGUUUUUUUCAUUGUUUCUGUGUGUGGCAUCCCUGUCCCCGUCACACUGGAUAAAGGCAAAGCAGCAGCUAAUUUGGUGUGGGAUUCCACAGCUGUCUUACAGAGAUGGAGGAAGAGUUGCAGGAACUCAGGGAUUUGAUUGCACAGCUUAAAGCAGACAAUGAGAGGCUGCGUCAGGAGAGGGCUGUUGGGUCAGCAAGCUUUGCAAAUGUGAUACAGUCCCACUGCCACCAACAGAGCACUGACUAAAAUUGUGGAAAUGAUCCGAGUGGCAGCAGAAGAAAAAUGGCACGCCUCUUCGUCUGGAUUAGAUUUGUAAUUUUUAUUUUGAG